UCCGAUGCUAUUUCUAGAGAUAGAAAGUUACUUCGGUACAUCGGUGACAGGUGGUGCAUGGUUGUCGUCAGCUCGUGUCGUGAGAUGUUGGGUUAAGUCCCGCAACGAGCGCAACCCCUAUUGUUAGUUGCCAUCAUUCAGUUGGGCACUCUAGCGAGACUGCCGGUAAUAACCGGAGGAAGGUGGGGAUGACGUCAAAUCAUCAUGCCCCUUAUGACCUGGGCUACACACGUGCUACAAUGGUUGGUACAACGAGUUGCGAGUCGGUGACGGCGAGCUAAUCUCUUAAAGCCAAUCUCAGUUCGGAUUGUAGGCUGCAACUCGCCUACAUGAAGUCGGAAUCGCUAGUAAUCGCGGAUCAGCACGCCGCGGUGAAUACGUUCCCGGGUCUU
RNAcentral lists this ribosomal RNA (392 nucleotides) under uncultured Streptococcus sp. RNAcentral's name for it is "bacterial SSU rRNA". It matches the Rfam family "Bacterial small subunit ribosomal RNA", at positions 987 to 1382 of the family's 1533-position model. Lineage: Bacteria; Bacillati; Bacillota; Bacilli; Lactobacillales; Streptococcaceae. The record is from RNAcentral.